UCAAAGCACUUUCAAAUUCUAUUACAAACCUACAGAAUUUGCAAGUGCUAAAUGUCUCUGGCUGUCAAUAUCUCAAGGAGUUGCCUGAAGAUAUUAAAAAUUUGAGUAAUCUUAGGCAUUUAUAUUGUCAUAAUUGUUACUCUUUGACUCAUAUGCCACGUGGGCUUGGGCAACUGACUUCACUCCAGACACUGACAUGGUUUGUAGUGGCAAAAGAUAGUUCAAUCUCAAAGAAUGUUGGAGGAUUAGAUGAACUGAAUAGCCUCUACAAUUUGAACGGAAGUCUCAAAUUAGAAAUUUGGGAUUUGUGAAAAAUGGGAAAGUAAAUCCUAAUUUGGAGAAGCUGCUUCUUCAAUCAUUGGUUCUAGUAUCGAGUCGAUAUGGUGAUGCAAGGGGUGAUGUAAAUGGUGAUAGUGAAGAAAUGGCACUGCAAAAUCUCCGACCAAAUUCUAAUCUUAAAGAGUUAAAGGUGUAUCAGUAUGGAGGCAGGAGUUUCCCAAGUUGGCUUUCUUCCCUCACAAAUCUUGUCCAUAUCCUGUUAGUGCGUUGUAGCAGUUGUAAGCAUCUUCCAGCAAUGGAUCAAAUCUGUUCUCUUCGAAAGCUAGAGAUUGGUGGUCUAGAUGAUUUAGAAUACAUAGAAAUUGAGGGACAAGGAACAUCAUUUUUUCCAUCUCUGAAGUAUCUCAUUAUAAAGUAUUGUCCGAAGCUAAUGGGAUGGCAGAAGAAGAGGGAUGAUUCAACAGCUAAGCUAGCCCAAUUUACGUUUCUUUCCCAGUUCAUUUGUCAUAAUUGCCCUAAAUUGAGUUGGAUCCCUCAGUUUCCAUCUCUCAAUGAAGCACUAGAAUUGAACAAUGUAAGCUUGCAACUUGUGCAGGAAAUAUUCACACCAUCAAUAUCUUCUUCCUCAACCGUUCCUCCUUUCUCUCAAUUGAAGACGCUCAUGUUUUCUCAAUUAGCAGUCGAAUCUCUACAGCCAUAUGGACUGCAGAAUCUCACUUCUCUUGAGAAACUAACAAUAUUUGAUUGCCGAGACUUGAAGUCUCUACCUCAAGAGAUGCGUUCCCUCACCUCUUUACGAAAAUUGCAUAUUUAUGGAUGUCCCAUAUUGAGGAGAAGAUGUGCAAAUAAAUAUUGUGAGGAUUGGCCUUUAGUUUCUCACAUCUCAUAUAUUAAUGUCCAAGCCAGAAUUAUUCAAUUGGAGGGCCACUAUCAACUAGACGACAAUGAAUCUGACAUACCACAUAGUGAUGACGAAAGGAACGCAAGUUUACAGUAUGCAUAGUGAAAUUCUAAUAGAUUGGAAAGUGGUGAACAAAUAGAGAGGAUGCUGAAUCCAUUGGCCUUGCCGCCAGUGGUGAUUUCCCAUGUUCUUCGUGAGGCUAAUGCUGUGGCUGACUCGUUGGCUAAGGAAGGACUUGCCCGUAAUUCAGAUCUGGUUGCCACCCUCUGAUUUUUUGCAAUUCUGAUUUUCUUUCAAUCACUGCUUGCUUUCUGCAACAUGUGUUUCUUGGUUGGUGCUAGUUGCUGUUGGAAUCUUUUCUCCUUGUGUCGGAGAGUCAUCACUAUUUUGCGUUGUGGCUUGGGAUGUUCGGUUGUUGGCCUAGUGUGGUUUGCAGUAAGCUAUUGUUAAAUCUGGUUGAGUGCUUCUGUUUCUUGCUUGUUUUAUACUUGCGAUUCUAGUCUUUGCUUUCCUUUCUAUUUUAAUUGUUUGUCUUGGUGUUUGUAUCGUUCUAGCUAGGUUUUUUCACUUAGCUCGUUUCUCAUUAGGUGGGUGUAUUGGGGAGACCUAUUGGUCUGGGUUUAGUAUGAGUUACAAGCUAAGUUUUUCCUAGCAUUUUAUUAAUAAAGUUCUUGCUUAUAAAAAAACCAAGGUGUCAUGGCAGCAAUAUAUGUAAGAAAUCCAUAAGUUUCCUUAUAGUACUAUAAUCUUUUUAUUUAAAUUAUAUAUUUUAAAUAAAAUUUUUUAAUUUAUUUAAAAUGUCAAAUGAUUUAAAAAAUUAUUAUUUUAUCAUUUUUUCUUUUAAAUUCAUACUUUAAACACACUACAAAAUUCCCGCACAAUGCAUGGGCUUUGGACUAGUUCUAAUCAACUGGGAAGUGGUGAACAAAUUCAAAGGGUGCUAAAUGAAUUGGCUGGUAAUGCUUUUAUCCAGAGUAUUCUUCUUUAUUUAUUUUCUUUAAUGCAUUUAAAAAGUUUGAUUUUGAUUCCAUUCGCAGAAGUUAAUAGUGCAGAUAUUGAGAAACCAAGGCAUGAUGAUAAGGGAGCAGUUACUUGUAAGUCCAUCUUCUUAUAUGCUAAGUGUUGCAAGAAAUUGGUGGUAUGCUAUUUUUCAUUAGUUUUAUGUUUCUUUUGUUCCAGCGGGUGAAAUUUUUUCUUACACGAGUAACUUGAAUUUCUAAUACAACCACAAUUAAUUCGAUAUUUUCAGGAUGUUAUUAAGAAUUUAGAAUUUCCCAACUCCUGGAGAAGUGAGGACAAUGAUCCAGCAUGAUGGAAUGAUGAAGGCGACUUGUGAUGGCAAGCCCUUAAAGGCCAUACCGGAGAUUACUUUCCAGUACUCAAAAUGAUCAGAUGCCUUCAUGAUGGAAUGCUUUUGCCCAACUUGAGGCAAUGGGACAUCAUUUAUUACUAAGAAGUUAGGCAUGUUCAUAUCCUUCAAAUUCAAUAGAGUUUAGAAGAAUCUACACUACUUGCUGCCUUUGCUUUGGAGUGAAAUACUGGUGAAGAAUCAAAUUUCGCUGUUGAGUUUUCUUCUCAAUCAAUAAAGGCUCUGAUCUGUAAAUAUUUCUUUUGAUCCUCACAGAGAAGAUAUAUGUAUAGUUGUGUAUUUAAAUAUGUUUGAUGGGCAUGGAGCUUAAUAGGUUUUAUGGUUUCUUUUAGCUGUAAAAUUUAGGGGAAAUUCUAUAGGUUAGGGACAGGUGUGUCACAAGCUAUACUGCAAGAUGUUUUAUGCAGGUUUCUGUGGGCAGAGUGGACUUGUUUUCCCUAUGGAUUAGCUUUUGCCAGAAUGCUAACCCUAUAUGUUCACUGGACAUGGGAUACUCCCGAAGUUUCUUGGACCAACAAUACGAGUUAUUUGAGAAUGUUUUCCUCAACUGUCUGCUCAAUUCCACAUUCAACCACCCUUCUGCCUAUGAGAGAUUUACAUGGAUGGAAAAUUUCUAAUCAAAGUUUCUUGUUGUCUCAAAGACCCAUAGAGGAGCCUCUCAAAUUGCAGGCAUUUCUCAUCAAGCAAAUCUAAUUUAACAAAAUGAUCCACACCCCUCAAAUGUCAACACUUCAAUAGUUGUCCCACCAAGUGGAUGCUCUUGUUGAUGGCAGAUCCACAACCAGUUCCCAAUCUUUAAGUUUAUCAAGAUUUUUGUGUUGUAAUUAUAACUAUUUGAUUAUGUAAUGUUUUUCAGGCAGUUGUUGAGAUUGUAGCCAUAGAUAUUAUCCCUUCACAUGUUUUCUAUAAUAAUCAAACAGAAUUAAGCUU
Hevea brasiliensis (rubber tree) is the source of this 3479-nucleotide RNA transcript. It is a transcript of the gene named disease resistance protein RGA2-like, with no coding region annotated. NCBI's taxonomy places the organism in Eukaryota, Viridiplantae, Streptophyta, Magnoliopsida, Malpighiales, Euphorbiaceae. The record is from RefSeq and is a predicted model, not a curated record. The transcript is spliced from 6 exons.